UACGUAGGGGGCGAGCGUUGUCCGGAUUUAUUGGGCGUAAAGAGCUCGUAGGCGGUUCGGCAAGUCAGAUGUAAAAACUCCAGGCUCAACUUGGAGAGGCCAUCUGAUACUGCCGUGACUAGAGUCCGGUAGAGGAGCACGGAAUUCCUGGUGUAGCGGUGAAAUGCGCAGAUAUCAGGAGGAACACCAGCGGCGAAGGCGGUGCUCUGGGCCGGAACCGACGCUGAGGAGCGAAAGCGUGGGGAGCGAACAGG
This 254-nucleotide ribosomal RNA is filed under the name uncultured bacterium. RNAcentral's name for it is "partial 16S ribosomal RNA". It matches the Rfam family "Bacterial small subunit ribosomal RNA", at positions 524 to 776 of the family's 1533-position model. The record is from RNAcentral.